GGGGGUGAUCGGUUUCGACGGUGGUCGUCGAGCCAGGAGAAGCGGGCCGAGGAUGCACGGUUAUCUCGUUAACGAUCCGCGCAAACCCAUAGGUGCCAAUAACAACAGCACCGACUUCGCCCUCGCCGCCUGAGCGAGCUGCGUAGUCCGCCAGCCCGGGGUCGCUCUCGACCCGGUAGCUGACGUCAUCUAGAGAGCCACUGCUCGUAUCCCUCGUCAUCGGGGAUCCGGGGACUUUUAGGUGACUGAGCCCGUCCACGACUUGUCUGCGUGAUCGUGGGGGCCGAGAAAAUCACAGCAGAAUGCGCCCGGAGAAGCCCUGGUUCCCCGUCAUCGGACGCGGGUUCGAUUCCCGCCACCUCCACCA
RNAcentral lists this transfer-messenger RNA (367 nucleotides) under Cellulomonas sp. It matches the Rfam family "transfer-messenger RNA". From Rfam's summary of the family: Bacterial tmRNA, also known as 10Sa RNA or SsrA, is named for its dual tRNA and mRNA-like properties. RNAcentral also lists the same sequence under 2 other names. The record is from RNAcentral. Lineage: Bacteria; Bacillati; Actinomycetota; Actinomycetes; Micrococcales; Cellulomonadaceae.